UGUCUAUUAAUUGUAGACCUGUAUGAAUGGCAAAAUGAGGGUUUAACUGUCUCUUAUAAUAAAUCAAUUAAACUGAUCUCCCAGUAAAAAAGCUGGCAUACUCACAUAAGACCAGAAGACCCUGUGAAGCUUAAACUAAACUACUAAACCCCAUAGUAAUUACUUUUGGUUGGGGCGACCUUGGAAAUAAAAAAAACUUCCAAAUAUAAUGACUAUAACUCAUAUACCACCCGGCUAACAAGCCUAUAAAUUAGACCCAGCACAGCUGAUAACUGAACCAAGUUACUCCAGGGAUAACAGCGCUAUCUUCUUCAAGAGCCCAUAUCAAAAAGAAGGUUUACGACCUCGAUGUUGGAUCAGGACAUCCUAAUGGUGCA
RNAcentral lists this ribosomal RNA (377 nucleotides) under Cubophis caymanus. Its description in RNAcentral is "partial 16S ribosomal RNA". It matches the Rfam family "Bacterial large subunit ribosomal RNA", at positions 1970 to 2557 of the family's 2925-position model. The record is from RNAcentral. Lineage: Eukaryota; Metazoa; Chordata; Lepidosauria; Squamata; Dipsadidae.